This 255-nucleotide ribosomal RNA is filed under the name Enterobacter hormaechei. RNAcentral's name for it is "partial 23S ribosomal RNA". It matches the Rfam family "Bacterial large subunit ribosomal RNA", at positions 2110 to 2364 of the family's 2925-position model. RNAcentral also lists the same sequence under 1 other name. The record is from RNAcentral. Lineage: Bacteria; Pseudomonadati; Pseudomonadota; Gammaproteobacteria; Enterobacterales; Enterobacteriaceae.
CUUGACACUGAACACUGGUCCUUGAUGUGUAGGAUAGGUGGGAGGCUUUGAAGCGUGGACGCCAGUCUGCGUGGAGCCAACCUUGAAAUACCACCCUUUAAUGGCUGGUGUUCUAACGUAGACCCGUAAUCCGGGUUGCGGACAGUGUCUGGUGGGUAGUUUGACUGGGGCGGUCUCCUCCCAAAGAGUAACGGAGGAGCACGAAGGUUGGCUAAUCCUGGUCGGACAUCAGGAGGUUAGUGCAAUGGCAUAAGC